ACUAUGGAGAGUUUGAUCCUGGCUCAGGAUGAACGCUAGCGGCAGGCCUAAUACAUGCAAGUCGGGCGGCAAGCGGUGUAGCAAUACACUGCCUAGAGCGGCGUACGGGUG
RNAcentral lists this ribosomal RNA (111 nucleotides) under Mariniradius sediminis. RNAcentral's name for it is "partial 16S ribosomal RNA". It matches the Rfam family "Bacterial small subunit ribosomal RNA", at positions 1 to 108 of the family's 1533-position model. Lineage: Bacteria; Pseudomonadati; Bacteroidota; Cytophagia; Cytophagales; Cyclobacteriaceae. The record is from RNAcentral.